CAAUAGCGUAUAUUUAAGUUGUUGCAGUUAAAAAGCUCGUAGUUGGAUUUCGGGUGGGACGCAGCGGUCUCGCAUUGCGUUUGUACUGCUGCAGCCCUCCUUCUUGCCGGGGGCGGCCUCUCGGACUUCACUGUCUGGGGGUCAGAAUCGGCGAUGUUACUUUGAGUAAAUUAGAGUGUUCAAAGCAAGCUUACGCUCUGAAUAUAAUAGCAUGGGAUAACACGACAGGACUCUGGCCUAUCGUGUUGGUCUAUAGGACCAGAGUAAUGAUUAAGAGGGACAGUCGGGGGCAUUCGUAUUCCGUUGUCAGAGGUGAAAUUCUUGAAUUUACGGAAGACGAACAUCUGCGAAAGCAUUUGCCAAGGAUGUUUUCAUUGA
This 378-nucleotide ribosomal RNA is filed under the name uncultured eukaryote. RNAcentral describes it as "partial 18S ribosomal RNA". It matches the Rfam family "Eukaryotic small subunit ribosomal RNA", at positions 592 to 976 of the family's 1831-position model. The record is from RNAcentral.